Panicum hallii is the source of this 281-nucleotide long non-coding RNA. RefSeq lists it as uncharacterized. The transcript has 3 exons. NCBI's taxonomy places the organism in Eukaryota, Viridiplantae, Streptophyta, Magnoliopsida, Poales, Poaceae. The record is from RefSeq and is a predicted model, not a curated record.
GGUAGCAAGACGCUACGGAGGAGGAGGUGCAUGUGGCGCAGGAGGAGGAGGAGGAGGUGCAGGAGGAGGACGAGGCGCAGCAGACCACCUCUGGUUCUGGUGCCUCUGGUUUGUCGAGCGUCUACUUGCAAGGUCCCGCCAGUCUCCCUAAGCGACCGAUACCUCGUGAGAGGCGCCCGUUGAUUCGACCCGAAGGGGAAAAGUCCUGGACGAUUGUGCAGAGUGCAGGUGCUGCUCACAAACGCUCCGUCAAUGGCAUCCUCGGUCUUCUGUGCAGGGAA